AGCCUGAUCAGCCAUGCCGCGUGAGUGAUGAGGUCCUCUGGAUUGUAACUUCUUUUGUAAGGGACGAAAAAGGGGAAUUCUUUCUCACUUGACGGUGACCUUAUGCAAUAAGCACCGGCUAACUCCGUCGCCAGCAGCCGCGGUAAUACGGAGGGUGCAAGCGUUAUCCGGAUUCACUGGGUUUAAAGGGUGCGUAGGCGGGUAUUUAAGUCUAAGCUGAAAUCCUAGAGCUUAACUCUAAAACUGCCAUUGCAUACUAUUUAUCUUGAAUAUUGUGGAGGUAAGCGGAAUAUGUCAUGUAUCGGUGAAAUGCUUAGAUAUGACAUAGAACACCUAUUGCGAAGGCAGCUUACUACGCAUAUAUUGACGCUGACGCACGAAAGCGUGUGGAUCGAACAGGAUUAGAUACCCUGGUAGUCCACGCCCUAAACGAUGGAUACUCGACAUACGCGAUACACUGUGUGUGUCUGACGAAAGCAUUAAGUAUCCCACCUGGGAAGUACGACGCAAGGUUGAAACUC
This 521-nucleotide ribosomal RNA is filed under the name uncultured Flavobacterium sp. RNAcentral's name for it is "bacterial SSU rRNA". It matches the Rfam family "Bacterial small subunit ribosomal RNA", at positions 380 to 902 of the family's 1533-position model. Lineage: Bacteria; Pseudomonadati; Bacteroidota; Flavobacteriia; Flavobacteriales; Flavobacteriaceae. The record is from RNAcentral.